Molecule: ribosomal RNA, 497 nt
Filed under: uncultured bacterium
Lineage: Bacteria
Description: partial 16S ribosomal RNA
Rfam family: Bacterial small subunit ribosomal RNA
Source: RNAcentral
GAUGAACGCUGGCGGCGUGCCUAAUACAUGCAAGUCGAGCGAACAGACGAGGAGCUUGCUCCUCUGACGUUAGCGGCGGACGGGUGAGUAACACGUGGAUAACCUACCUAUAAGACUGGGAUAACUUCGGGAAACCGGAGCUAAUACCGGAUAAUAUAUUGAACCGCAUGGUUCAAUAGUGAAAGACGGUUUUGCUGUCACUUAUAGAUGGAUCCGCGCCGCAUUAUCUAGUUGGUAAGGUAACGGCUUACCAAGGCAACGAUGCGUAGCCGACCUGAGAGGGUGAUCGGCCACACUGGAACUGAGACACGGUCCAGACUCCUACGGGAGGCAGCAGUAGGGAAUAUUCCGCAAUGGGCGAAAGCUUGACGGAGCAACGCCGCGUGAGUGAAGAAGGUCUUCGGAUCGUAAAACUCUGUUAUUAGGGAAGAAAAAAUGUGUAAGUAACUAUGCACGUCUUGACGGUACCUAAUCAGAAAGCAACGGCUAACUACGUG